This 489-nucleotide ribosomal RNA is filed under the name uncultured bacterium. RNAcentral's name for it is "partial 16S ribosomal RNA". It matches the Rfam family "Bacterial small subunit ribosomal RNA", at positions 30 to 506 of the family's 1533-position model. The record is from RNAcentral.
AUUGAACGCUGGCGGCAGGCCUAACACAUGCAAGUCGAACGGUAACAGGAAGCAGCUUGCUGCUUCGCUGACGAGUGGCGGACGGGUGAGUAAUGUCUGGGAAGCUGCCUGAUGGAGGGGGAUAACUACUGGAAACGGUAGCUAAUACCGCAUAAUGUCGCAAGACCAAAGAGGGGGACCUUCGGGCCUCUUGCCAUCGGAUGUGCCCAGAUGGGAUUAGCUUGUUGGUGGGGUAACGGCUCACCAAGGCGACGAUCCCUAGCUGGUCUGAGAGGAUGACCAGCCACACUGGAACUGAGACACGGUCCAGACUCCUACGGGAGGCAGCAGUGGGGAAUAUUGCACAAUGGGCGCAAGCCUGAUGCAGCCAUGCCGCGUGUAUGAAGAAGGCCUGCGGGUUGUAAAGUACUUUCAGCGGGGAGGAAGGGAGUAAAGUUAAUACCUGUGCUCAUUGACGUUACCCGCAGAAGAAGCACCGGCGAACUCCGU